AUGGUGUAUCUUAUAUCUUGUCUUUUUUACGAGAUGAAUCUUUACAUCCUACUCUAAGAACCGGAGAACAACUUAUGUGGAUACUACGUUUGCGAGUAUAUUAUGGCAGAAACAAAUAGAAUUUCUAAAGAAUACCUCAGAGUAUGUAACACAUGUCUCUUUUUAUUUUCUCUCGAAUUACUAUUGAUAAUCUUGAUAUAACUAAUACCUUCUUCUAAUUCAAAUUGAAGACUGAAUGGUUGAAGCAAAAACUCAUGCAACAUGAACAACUCUAAGCAAUACAAGAGACAAUAGCAGUAUUUUUUCGGAAACAAGUCAUAAAUCUAAGCGGCGAGUUCCACUAUAAUCCUAAGGAGAUGAUGAUUCCAAACACAAUGAUCAUUUGUAUGCCCUGUAGUUCUUUAGAUGAUGAAGUACAACUAGUAAUAGGUUAAGAGUAUUAACUUUGGAGUACAACUUAUGCAGUAAUAGAUUUGGAGAACAACUUCUAUAUAUUUAUGUGCAUAGAUAUAUAUAUAUGUAGUUAUAUAAUUCAAUUAUAUAUGCAUAAAAUAAGCUUAAUGUCAUAUGCUGCUACUAUAUAUUUUAUAUUGUAUAUAUAUAUAUUCUUUGUUGCUAAUAUAU
RNAcentral lists this long non-coding RNA (624 nucleotides) under Sorghum bicolor (sorghum). RNAcentral's name for it is "long non-coding RNA (SBIC_LNC016094)". Lineage: Eukaryota; Viridiplantae; Streptophyta; Magnoliopsida; Poales; Poaceae. The record is from RNAcentral.